GACCAGACUCCUACGGGAGGCAGCAGUGGGGAAUAUUGCACAAUGGGGGAAACCCUGAUGCAGCGACGCCGCGUGAGCGAUGAAGUAUUUCGGUAUGUAAAGCUCUAUCAGCAGGGAAGAAAAUGACGGUACCUGACUAAGAAGCCCCGGCUAACUACGUGCCAGCAGCCGCGGUAAUACGUAGGGGGCAAGCGUUAUCCGGAUUUACUGGGUGUAAAGGGAGCGUAGACGGCUGUGCAAGCCAGAUGUGAAAGCCCGGGGCUCAACCCCGGGACUGCAUUUGGAACUGUGUGGCUGGAGUGUCGGAGAGGCAGGCGGAAUUCCUAGUGUAGCGGUGAAAUGCGUAGAUAUUAGGAGGAACACCAGUGGCGAAGGCGGCCUGCUGGACGAUGACUGACGUUGAGGCUCGAAAGCGUGGGGAGCAAACAGGAUUAGAUACCCGGGUA
RNAcentral lists this ribosomal RNA (446 nucleotides) under uncultured bacterium. RNAcentral describes it as "bacterial SSU rRNA". It matches the Rfam family "Bacterial small subunit ribosomal RNA", at positions 329 to 792 of the family's 1533-position model. The record is from RNAcentral.